Molecule: long non-coding RNA, 670 nt
Organism: Ostrea edulis (European flat oyster)
Lineage: Eukaryota; Metazoa; Mollusca; Bivalvia; Ostreida; Ostreidae
Exons: 4
Source: RefSeq, a predicted model, not a curated record
CAUAGACCGUGGAUCAGAAGCACCUCGAAGUUUAUGUAGAAGCCCUCAAGUUCGAGCAGACGGUAUCAGAUGUGUGUGCCAGAAUAGUGCAGGAAGAGUGUGCCGCAACUUUGCCGCAAACUGUGCCUGAGAAAAAAUCCAUACGAAAAAUAUACUUUCAGCAAAUGCGCUGCAAAUGUCUUGCUGCAGCAACUGGCUUAUAUUUUGAUGUACCUCUGGCGACGAAAACAAGAAGCCAGUGACGCCAUGUUGGAUCAGAGCCUCGUUUCCACCAUUACGCCUGGCAAUUACUGGUGUACCCAAAUCCAUAGCCUUAGAAGAUAAUAGAAUGAAAUCGAACCAAACCAUCCCCUGUCACCUCAAAUAAAGGACCUGGAGCUCCGGAAGAAAAUUAGGUCAACCCAUGGAAGUUUGUCCUACUAUUGUAUAAGGGUUGUCUCAAUUGCAAAAGAAAAUCAAAUUAGAGGGACGGAUUAUCCACAAAUUAGAGACACGGGAUAUCCACAAAUUAUCUUGCGUGUUAUACACAGGAUUUGAUCGAUACAGAUUACCAACCUCUAAAACAACAGCCGCCAUGCCCUCGCUUUCCGACGUGUUGACCAAGGAACUACUGUCCCUCAUACACGCAUGCGCGUUUUCUAUGCUCAUCUCACCCAAAUAUAUAACACCC